Molecule: small nucleolar RNA, 120 nt
Organism: Caenorhabditis elegans
Lineage: Eukaryota; Metazoa; Nematoda; Chromadorea; Rhabditida; Rhabditidae
Source: Ensembl
UAUAACAAAAAAUAGAGUUCAAUACUCUUGAUUUCUUCACCGAAUGCCUAUAAAACCUAGAUCGACUUCUUCACCCUUUUCGUGCUCAUCCACGGGCGACGAGGAUUUAAAGUUGAUACA